CUGCCGCCCCCGCCCCGGGGUCGCGCUCCCCUCCCCGUGCCGUGGCCGCCGCCUCUUCCGCCGCCGGGCUCGGGGCCCUCCGCAGCGACAACAUGGAGGCCGUGAAAACCUUCAAUAGCGAGGAUUGUGCCUCUACUCCUGCUUGUACAGACUGCUUUUCCAGCAGCAUGGACACAAGAAGCAUAUUAUAUUCCCUGAAUGACUAUAAACCACCCAUUUCUAAAGCGAAAAUGACCCAAAUUACAAAGGCAGCCAUCAAAGCUAUUAAGUUCUAUAAACAUGUGGUACAGAGUGUUGAGAAAUUCAUUCAAAAAUGUAAACCAGAAUACAAGGUACCUGGACUUUAUGUUAUUGAUUCCAUUGUGCGACAAUCUCGACAUCAGUUUGGGCAAGAAAAGGAUGUUUUUGCACCCAGAUUUAGUAAUAACAUCAUUAGCACUUUUCAGAAUUUAUACCGUUGUCCUGGUGAUGACAAGAGUAAAAUAGUGAGAGUAUUGAACUUGUGGCAGAAGAACAAUGUGUUUAAGAGUGAGAUUAUUCAGCCCCUUCUGGAUAUGGCGGCAGGGAUUCCUCCCCCAGUUGUCACUCCAGUGCUGGCCAGCACUACUGCUGCUAUGAGCAAUACUCCAGGAACUCCUGUGACACCCGUGACUCCAGCCAAUGUAGUCCAAGGCUUACCUGACCCGUGGGUAUCUCAGAUAACAAAUACAGAUACACUUGCAGCUGUGGCUCAGAUCUUACAAAGUCCUCAAGGCCAACAGCUUCAGCAGUUAAUCCAGACUUUACAGAUACAGCAGCAGAAGCCUCAGCCUUCCAUUCUGCAGGCGCUGGAUGCUGGUCUUGUUGUGCAGCUGCAGGCUCUUACAGCACAGCUCACUGCCGCAGCAGCCGCAGCCAACACACUUACUCCCCUAGAGCAGGGCGUCUCUUUUAACAAGAAGUUGAUGGAUAGGUUUGAUUUUGGAGAAGAUUCUGAGCAUAGUGAAGAACCCAAAAAGGAAAUUCCAACUCCUCAGCUUUCCCAUGUUUCAGAAUCUGUGAACAAUUCCAUCUUUCAUCAGAUAGCAGAACAGCUUCAACAGCAAAACCUUGAACAUCUUAGACAGCAGCUCCUGGAGCAACAGCAGCCUCAAAAGGCAACUCCUCAGGAUAGUCAAGAAGGAACAUUUGGGUCAGAGCAUUCAGCAUCACCAUCACAAGGGAGCAGUCAACAGCAUUUUCUUGAACCUGAAGCAAAUUUGGAUGAUUCCAUAGAUAUUCAGCAACAGGAUAUGGACAUAGAUGAAGGGCAGGAUGGAGUGGAAGAAGAGAUUUUUGAACAAGAAGCUAAGAAAGUGGCUGUUCGCUCAAGAUCAAGAACUCAUUCACGAUCUCGUUCAAGAUCACCGAGAAAACGAAGGUCCAGGUCACGAUCUGGUUCUCGUAAGCGUAAACACAGAAAGCGCUCGCGUUCACGAUCAAGAGAAAGAAAGAGAAAGUCAUCACGCUCAUACUCCAGUGAAAGGCGAGCCAGAGAGAGAGAGAAAGAACGGCAGAAAAAGGGAUUACCUCCAAUUAGAUCUAAAACACUAAGUGUAUGUAGUACUACUCUCUGGGUUGGCCAGGUGGACAAGAAAGCAACACAGCAAGAUUUAACCAAUCUAUUUGAAGAAUUUGGACAGAUUGAAUCCAUUAAUAUGAUUCCUCCCAGGGGAUGUGCUUAUGUCUGCAUGGUUCAUCGACAAGAUGCAUUUAGAGCUCUUCAGAAACUUAGUUCGGGGUCAUAUAAAAUUGGAUCCAAGGUCAUUAAGAUUGCCUGGGCUUUAAACAAAGGUGUAAAAACGGAAUACAAACAAUUCUGGGAUGUGGAUCUAGGAGUUACAUAUAUCCCAUGGGAAAAAGUUAAAGUGGAUGACUUGGAUGGCUUUGCAGAAGGAGGCAUGAUUGAUCAGGAGACUGUAAAUAGUGAGUGGGAAACUGUGAAAAGCUCAGAACCUGUCAAAGAGACGGUCCCGACAACACAGAGUCCACCUCCAGUUGAAAAGGAGACAGUAGUGACGACCCAGGCAGAGGUUUUCCCACCACCUGUUGCUAUGUUGCAGAUCCCAGUAGCACCAGCUGUGCCUACAGUUAGUUUAGUCCCACCAGCGUUUCCUGUGUCAAUGCCAGUUCCUCCCCCUGGGUUCAGUCCAAUACCUCCACCUCCUUUUCUGCGAGCAAGUUUUAACCCUUCACAACCACCUCCUGGUUUCAUGCCACCGCCAGUUCCCCCACCCGUAGUACCACCCCCUGCAAUUCCACCGGUAGUACCAACAUCUUUAGUGCAACCACCAUUAUCUAUGACCCCAGAAACUGUGAAAGAUGUUGGAUUUGGUAGCCUUGUUUUGCCAGGUGGUUCUGUUGCCAGCAGCCUUGCUACUUCCACUCUGCCACCUGGAAAUGUUUUUAAUCCUCCAGCUAAGCAAGCAGAGCCUGAAGAAAAAGUACCUCAUCUUAUAGACCACCAGAUUUCUUCUGCUGAAAACACCAGACCAGUGAUUCCAAAUGAUAUUUCAAGUAAUGCAGCAAUUUUAGGAGGACAGCCGCCCAGUGUCACAAGCAAUUCUGGAAUUCUGGGAGUCCAGAGACCAAAUGUAUCCAGUAAUUCUGAAAUUCUUGGAGUCCGGCCAUCUAAUGUUUCCAGUAGUUCUGGGAUUAUUGGAGCCCAACCACCAAAUAUUCUAAAUAACUCCGGAAUUUUGGGAAUUCAGCCUCCAAGUGUGUCGAGCAAUUCUGGACUUUUGGGAGUGCUACCCCCAAAUAUGCCUAACAGUUCUGGACUUGUAGGAGUACAGCCACCAAAUGUUCCUAAUACGUCUGGACUUUUGGGAACGCAGCCACCAGCUGGACCUCAAAACUUACCCCCUUUAAGUAUCCCCAGUCAAAGGAUGCCUGCAAUGCCAAUGUUAGAUAUUCGUCCAGGACUAAUUCCACAGGCACCUGGACCAAGAUUCCCUUUAAUACAGCCUGGACUUCCUCCCCAGCGGGGAAUCCCUCCCCCCUCGGUACUUGAUUCAGCUCUUCAUCCACCACCCCGUGGACCCUUUCCUCCAGGAGAUAUUUUUAGUCAGCCAGAAAGACCUUUCCUAGCUCCUGGAAGACCAAGUGUAGACAAUGUCACUAACCCAGACAAAAGGAUACCACUUGGGAAUGAUAACAUUCAACAGGAAGGAGAUAGAGAUUACCGCUUUCCUCCUAUAGAAACCCGAGAAAGCCUUAGCAGGCCUCCCCCGGUGGAUGUUAGGGAUGUGGUCGGCCGCCCUAUAGAUCCAAGGGAAGGUCCUGGGAGGCCUCCAUUAGAUGGAAGGGAUCAUUUUGGAAGACCUCCUGUAGAUAUCAGAGAGAAUAUUGUGAGGCCAGGAAUAGAUCAUCUUGGUAGAAGAGACCACUUUGGCUUUAAUCCAGAGAAGCCUUGGGGGCACAGAGGAGAUUUUGAUGAGAGAGAGCAUCGAGUUCUGCCUGUAUUUGGUGGUCCAAAAGGCUUACAUGAAGAAAGAGGUAGAUUUCGGGCUGGAAGCUAUCGCUUUGAUCCGAGAAGUGGUCCUUGGAACAGAGGAUUUGGACAAGAAGUUCACAGAGAUUUUGAUGACCGCAGAAGACCCUGGGAGAGGCAAAGGGAUAGGGAUGACAGAGAUUUUGAUUUUUGCAGAGAAAUGAAUGGAAAUCGUCUUGGACGAGAUAGAAUUCAAAACACUUGGGUCCCCCCUCCUCAUGCUCGGGUUUUUGAUUAUUUUGAAGGGGCCACUUCUCAACGAAAAGGUGAUAAUGUGCCCCAGAUUAAUGGUGAAAAUACAGAGAGACAUGCUCAACCACCGCCUUUACCAGUGCAGAGUGAUCCUGAACUUUUUGAAAAACUGGCAUCUUCAAGUGAGAUAAACAAGGAGAAGAGUGACACAGUUGCUGAUAUAGAAAGUGAACCAGUGGUGGUAGAAAGCACAGAAACUGAGGGGACAUAAUCAUCACUCAGUAGCAAUUCCUCCAGAGACUCGGAAUGUCAUUGUGAUGAGCACUGAGAACUAAACAAACGAAUGAUUGGAUUCCAAAGCCACUCAGAUAACUCCAGACUUACAAGGAACCCUGACUUAUUUCAAAGUACUUAUCCAGGACCUUCGUUAUUCCUUAACACAGGAGGUAAAAGCAAAGCAAGAUGAUGCAUGAAGUCCUGGCAGCCUCCCGUGUCCCAGGCCUUGUAGAAAUAAAUGACGUGCUUCAAAGUUCUAAUGUGCAUCACAUCGGAUCUUGGUUAAGGAAGCGUUAAAAGGAACCCGCCAUUCCCUAUUGAGAAGGCUGUGUGCUCUCAGGCGUUGUUUGUGAUUGAAUCCAGAGGUUGCAAGCGUGCCUCCCUGUAUUACCUGUUGGAGCAGGUUUAAUUUUAUAAAUUUUAAACACAAACUCUGUGAGUUUCUAGUUCAUAAUUGUUCUUUUUGAGGAUCCACUCAGACGAACAGUAUUGCAUCUGUAAGAGAUACACACUUCCGCAGGACCAGGACUGGCUGGAAUAUCAGUGGCAAGAAACUCCAUCUGUAGCGUUGUCCAGUACCAGUGACAAAAGGAAGGAUGGCAAGGAAGGCCUUCAGGGAGAGAAGCCGGUGUUGUGUUGAAACUACAGAUUACCAGGACCAUAGCUUUAGCCCACCAGGGCUGUGGUCUCCAACAUGAUGCGCGUAGACUGUGGAGCUCUUGACUGGCGGCUUUUGUCCAUGAUUGUUAUCUCCUUGGAUGCUCUCGAACUUUUGAAAAUCUUACACUUUCAUUUAAAAAACAAACAAACAAAAAAUUAAUGCAGCUUUGAGAAAAUCUAGGAGCCAGAAUUGUCUUCCGGGUGUUUCACUCCCGUCUUCCUGUCCUGUUAUUACAAAUAGCAGGUGCCCAGGUGGUCGACCAGAAGCCUUGAAGGAGAGUAAGGAAAUGACCAUGAACAGGCAGAUUGCAUAGUAUCGUAAACAUACUUUAUAAGUACAUUUCUUAUUAGCUUCGAAUUCAGGCAGAGAUGAUUAAAAUGUUGCAAGUAUCCAGACCAGGAUCUGUGUUUUGGAAAUCUAUCAGUAUUCACAAUACCUGCAGGGGAGAAAAAAAAAUUACAAAAAAUCAAGUAUGAGCACUCAUUUCACCCAAAAGAAUAUUUUUAUCAUUCUUUUAUUCGUUUUGGCUCUGUCAAAAAUUAAAGUGCUUGGAAUGCUGUAGUCUGUGGUCUCUUGAAAUUUAAUCAAUGAGAACCUAACACUUUCACAGUAUGCUGUCACUUUGGACGUUCAUAAUAAAAACUGAAACUAAUUUUGGUU
Lepus europaeus (European hare) is the source of this 5300-nucleotide RNA transcript. It is a transcript of the gene named SR-related CTD associated factor 8, with no coding region annotated. Lineage: Eukaryota; Metazoa; Chordata; Mammalia; Lagomorpha; Leporidae. The record is from RefSeq and is a predicted model, not a curated record. The transcript is spliced from 23 exons.